GAUGAACGCUGGCGGCGUGCCUAAUACAUGCAAGUCGAACGCAUUGAGAGAAGUGCUUGCACUUUUCAAUUUGAGUGGCGAACGGGUGAGUAACACGUGGGCAACCUACCUGAUAGCGGGGGAUAACGAGUGGAAACAUUCGCUAAUACCGCAUAACAAUAGAGAAGGCAUCUUCUUUAUUUAAAAGGCGCUUUCAAGCGUCACUAUCAGAUGGGCUCGCGGUGCAUUAGGUAGUUGGUGGGGUGAAGGCCUACCAAGACGAUGAUGCAUAGCCGAGUUGAGAGACUGAUCGGCCACACUGGGACUGAGACACGGCCCAAACUCCUACGGGAGGCUGCAGUAGGGAAUCUUCCACAAUGGACGAAAGUCUGAUGGAGCAACGCCGCGUGUGUGAUGAAGGCUUUCGGGUCGUAAAGCACUGUUGUAUGGGAAGAAAUGCUAGGCUAGGAAAUGAGCUUAGUUUGACGGUACCAUACCAGAAAGGGACGGCUAAAUACGUGCCAGCCGCCGCCGUAA
RNAcentral lists this ribosomal RNA (516 nucleotides) under uncultured bacterium. Its description in RNAcentral is "partial 16S ribosomal RNA". It matches the Rfam family "Bacterial small subunit ribosomal RNA", at positions 28 to 523 of the family's 1533-position model. The record is from RNAcentral.